AUGGAUAAUUCUCAACAACAAUAUCUAUAUUACUGUAUGUGGAAGCAACGCACACUACUUGUCCUUUUUGUAAUGUUGGUCCUUUGGUGGAGCAAGAAAAAAGAGAGGAAGAAUAGAGCUAAAAGUGUCAAGUAUGGUCCACUUGUCAAGAGAGAUAUUUGGAGGAGUACUGAACUAAUUAGACUGAUCGACACCUUGGAAAGGACGUGUUUGCACCAGCUCAGGAUGUAUCCGGCCGUUUUCUACAAGCUGUGUGCUCACCUUAGGGACAAAAAUCUUUCGGUUGACACAAUUCAUGUGUCCGUAGAGGAGCAGCUAGCUAUGUUUCUGAAAAUUGUUGGGCAAUAUCACACUCAUCCUCCGUAG
Molecule: ribosomal RNA, 366 nt
Filed under: Triticum aestivum (bread wheat)
Lineage: Eukaryota; Viridiplantae; Streptophyta; Magnoliopsida; Poales; Poaceae
Description: partial small subunit ribosomal RNA
Source: RNAcentral